ACAACGACUCUCGGCAACGGAUAUCUCGGCUCUUGCAUCGAUGAAGAACGUAGCGAAAUGCGAUACUUGGUGUGAAUUGCAGAAUCCCGUGAACCAUCGAGUCUUUGAACGCAAGUUGCGCCCGAAGCCCUUAGGCUGAGGGCACGCCUGCCUGGGUGUCACCA
Molecule: ribosomal RNA, 164 nt
Filed under: Stylosanthes seabrana
Lineage: Eukaryota; Viridiplantae; Streptophyta; Magnoliopsida; Fabales; Fabaceae
Description: 5.8S ribosomal RNA
Rfam family: 5.8S ribosomal RNA
About the family: 5.8S ribosomal RNA (5.8S rRNA) is a component of the large subunit of the eukaryotic ribosome. It is transcribed by RNA polymerase I as part of the 45S precursor that also contains 18S and 28S rRNA. Functionally, it is thought that 5.8S rRNA may be involved in ribosome translocation.
Source: RNAcentral